GGAUUAGUGGCGGACGGGUGAGUAACACGUGAGUAACCUGCCUUAGACAUUGGGAUAGCCUCGGGAAACCGGGAUUAAUACCAAAUAAAAUCAUAAUGACACAUGUCAUAACGAUCAAAACUCCGGUGGUCUAAGAUGGACUCGCGUCCCAUUAGCUAGUUGGUAGAGUAAAAGCCUACCAAGGCGACGAUGGGUAGCCGGCCUGAGAGGGUGAACGGCCACAUUGGAACUGAGAAACGGUCCAA
RNAcentral lists this ribosomal RNA (245 nucleotides) under uncultured Eubacteriales bacterium. RNAcentral's name for it is "uncultured Clostridiales bacterium partial 16S ribosomal RNA". It matches the Rfam family "Bacterial small subunit ribosomal RNA", at positions 89 to 334 of the family's 1533-position model. The record is from RNAcentral. Lineage: Bacteria; Bacillati; Bacillota; Clostridia; Eubacteriales.